Molecule: non-coding RNA, 73 nt
Organism: Pteropus alecto (black flying fox)
Lineage: Eukaryota; Metazoa; Chordata; Mammalia; Chiroptera; Pteropodidae
Source: Rfam
GGUUCCAUAGUGUAGCGGUUAGCAUGUCUGCUUUACACGCAGAAAGUCCUAGAAUCAUGCCUCAGUGGAGCCA